Molecule: ribosomal RNA, 466 nt
Filed under: uncultured bacterium
Lineage: Bacteria
Description: partial 16S ribosomal RNA
Rfam family: Bacterial small subunit ribosomal RNA
Source: RNAcentral
GAUGAACGCUGGCGGCGUGCUUAACACAUGCAAGUCGAACGAUGAAGCCCAGCUUGCUGGGUGGAUUAGUGGCGAACGGGUGAGUAACACGUGAGUAACCUGCCCUUAACUCUGGGAUAAGCCUGGGAAACUGGGUCUAAUACCGGAUAGGAGCGCCUACCGCAUGGUGGGUGUUGGAAAGAUUUAUCGGUUUUGGAUGGACUCGCGGCCUAUCAGCUUGUUGGUGAGGUAAUGGCUCACCAAGGCGACGACGGGUAGCCGGCCUGAGAGGUGGACCGGCCACACUGGGAAUGAGACACGGCCCAGGCUCCUACGGGAGGCAGCAGUGGGGAAUAUUGCACAAUGGGCGAAAGCCUGAUGCAGCGACGCCGCGUGAGGGAUGACGGCCUUCGGGUUGUAAACCUCUUUCAGUAGGGAAGAAGCGAAAGUGACGGUACCUGCAGAAGAAGCACCGGCUAACUACGUG